UUAUCAAUGGCUUGCAAGACCACCGCUGUUGUGGCAUCCAUGUUGAUAUUGAUGCUCCUUGUGUCUUUCGUUUGACGAUAUAGAUGAAGACUCUCAUAAGUGUGCACCUUCCAAUAUAAAGACAUGCCAAGAUUAGGUCACACCCCAUCCAAGUGUUCUCAAUGGCUUGCAAGACCCCCAUCGUUGUGGCAUCCAUGUUGAUAUUGAUGCUCCUUGUGUCUUUUGACGAGGUUCAAGGGAAGUGUCGCGAGGAACGCAUCAAGCUCUCCUGUGAUAAUUGGGUCAAAUGUUUUGAGUGGUGUCGUCUCUUUGGUGGUACGAAAGGGUACUGUGAUAAAGGUUCAUGUGUGUGUGUGAAUUGCUUUGUGCAAUCAUCUGGCCACCAUUCUACAGAGGUUCCACCACCGAAUUCUGCCCAUCUUGAGUAGUUCAUUGUAAUUGUCGAAUUAUUGGUAAUUGGUUGUCCUAUAAAUAACUAAGUGCAUUGGUUAUGAUA
Long non-coding RNA from Aegilops tauschii subsp. strangulata, 496 nucleotides. RefSeq lists it as uncharacterized. Lineage: Eukaryota; Viridiplantae; Streptophyta; Magnoliopsida; Poales; Poaceae. The record is from RefSeq and is a predicted model, not a curated record.